GCACAUACAGUGUAUUGGAUAGCGGGUAGCCAUCAGAAAAACACUUUGACACCACAAAACACUGAGAUAUGGUAUCUGUAAGAACCACAACGGUGAUAUUGCUGGUGACUACUAUUUAUGUAAUAUCCAGUCAAGUAGAAUGUCAUUUAACUGUUGGAAGAAGUUUUCAAUCUUAUUCUGACACAAAACGAACGCAACAACAGAGGCAAAAUCAAGUUGGAAAAGAGUCGGGAAGCAUAGGUCUUAAAACAUACCUUGAAGACUAUUCUCCAAUUUCACGAUUAAUCAAAAGACAAAGAGACAGUCAACGGGACUACAAUUAGAAAAAAUGGAAUAAUCUUUUCAAUAGCACUGGCACGGUCUUCUUCCAAAGGGCUAAAAAAGAUAACAGCUUAUUUUGAAUACUUAUAAUCUUUCUGCGAAAAUGCCAAUAAAUAUAACAAAUGUUCUAUAACAACGUUCUAUAAUUGCGUUAUUUUAUCUAAAAUUAAAAUGCAUUGCUAGCGUAGCGUGAUUUGUUUACUCCCUAGAUGAAWKAAAAUGAGACAAAACUUAAAAAGGGAUAAACGUCGCUAACUCUUGAUGCUGCCACAAAUCCUGCAACUUUAUAACUCAUGUCCUUCCACAGGCUUGGGUUUUAGAAGGCAUUAAUUGGCUAAGUAUAUAUAAUGCCGAGUCUAGGACAGAAAUGUUUCAUCACUUUCUGUUCUUUUUGUGUGUGAAAUAAAAUGAAAUUUAAAAUUUA
This is a long non-coding RNA of Exaiptasia diaphana, 745 nucleotides long. RefSeq lists it as uncharacterized. The transcript has 3 exons. NCBI's taxonomy places the organism in Eukaryota, Metazoa, Cnidaria, Anthozoa, Actiniaria, Aiptasiidae. The record is from RefSeq and is a predicted model, not a curated record.